CCUGCCGUUGCCGGCGACCGGCGCACGGGUGAGUAACACGUAUGCAACCUGCCCGUGGCAGGGGGAUAAGCGGGGGAAACCCCGUCUAAUACCGCGUAACGCGGCCUUGGGGCAUCCCAAGGCCGCCAAAGGGAGCAAUCCCGGCCACGGAUGGGCAUGCGGCGCAUUAGCUAGUCGGCGGGGUAACGGCCCACCGAGGCGACGAUGCGUAGGGGUUCUGAGAGGAAGGCCCCCCACAUUGGAACUGAGACACGGUCCAAACUCCUACGGAAGGCAGCAG
Molecule: ribosomal RNA, 280 nt
Filed under: uncultured bacterium
Lineage: Bacteria
Description: partial 16S ribosomal RNA
Rfam family: Bacterial small subunit ribosomal RNA
Source: RNAcentral